This 64-nucleotide non-coding RNA is filed under the name unclassified sequences. RNAcentral's name for it is "sul1 RNA". It matches the Rfam family "sul1 RNA". The record is from Rfam by way of RNAcentral.
CCUGGACCCGCGCCCCUGAGGGGCUUGCGGGUGGCUAUUCCGGCCGCCGAUCCGCCGGAGCAAU